Culex quinquefasciatus (southern house mosquito) is the source of this 1984-nucleotide long non-coding RNA. RefSeq lists it as uncharacterized. The record is from RefSeq and is a predicted model, not a curated record. NCBI's taxonomy places the organism in Eukaryota, Metazoa, Arthropoda, Insecta, Diptera, Culicidae. The transcript has 3 exons.
AAUGCCUGACACAGCAAAAGAGAAGAGCGAAAUUUAACCAAUGAGCUCUCUCUUCCGAAUCUGGCGGAUACGACUCCCAGCAUGACAUACCAAAACAACUCAUAAAACAGCAUAAAAUAUGUUUUUUGUUUUGGUUUAUAGGAUCGCGGACAGAUCAUUGUUGUGGACUGUUUGAGUUUUAAAAGAAAAGUGUCGAAGGGCGAAGGAUUGAGGCAACAAAAAAAUACGCACUGCUUUACGGUACCUGGUCCCCCGACAACGACCAACCAAGCGGCGGCGGACGUGGUACGGAGGACGCUUCUAGAAACCUUAAAAAAAGAGCGCGCCAUCCGCUUUAUGGUUAUGAAGCAGGUCGUCUGGGCCGCUUGGGACAACGUGUCCGAGAAUACAAAAAUGCACGAGCUGCUGAGACUAGUGUUUCUGAGGCCACCGGAGCGGGCGGAAACAUAGAGGUUGCGGCGGUUAAGGGGUUACAGUUUUAAAAUAAAAUUAAGUGUGUGCUCACACCAACCUCUGACUUUUUUUAUCGAUUUACAUGUAUGUAACCCCUUAAGUUCCCGGUGCUUUUACGUCGAGGUGCGUUUGGUCAUUGUUUCUUGAGGGGCGAAAAACUACAAAUUGCACUUAAGGAACUCUCGACUCGAUGAUUUCCGUACGACACAAAAAUAUCUGAUCACGCUGCAAGAGACGAAUAGUUUCAUGAAGAAUUGAUCACCAAGCGGAUCCAGUCGGACAAACCGUACAUUAUUAUGGGUUACAAAGGCUCUGCCGAAGCGCUCCGAUAACGACGUGUUGUUCCUGACUACGCAGGGCAUCGUCCAGCUGGAGCAGCGCCACCGUAACGGAAUACGCGGUCGCAUGGCGGAUGUGCAAUAUCUGUCAGUACUACGCCGUGAUUUUUCAGUUCCAGCAUGGACACUACGACAAGUGCGUCGCGGCUUCGUCGUCGUGAUGAUCUUUUCUCACAGCCAGCCAUAAACGACCUGGUUUUACGGAGGAAUUGGCUGCUAAUCUGAGCGAACUUACCUCGCUGAAGAAUCGCUUGUGACUCUUCGCGCUCGACAGGUCCUAAUAGCUGCUCAUCAGCCAGCUUAAGAACUACGUCAUAACCAGAUAAAGUCCAUCUGUCUGUCUAAGAGCACGAAAACCUGCAGUGGUUGAUCUUUUCGGAUGUUCCCAUCUUGGAUAUUCCGCACGACUAUCUUUCUACCUCUGUUAUCGUGCAGUCUGCAAUGCAAUGAUGGAUUACGUCCAUUGGGCGUUUUUUUUUUUGUUUGGCAGUUUAGCGGCGUUCGAUUCAUACGAGCACUUUACCCAGUACUCGGAUGAGAUCCUGGACUUGCACGGGGACAUGACUUCGAGGCGUUCGUUAACCUGAAGAUGCUGGAGGUGGUAAAUGCGCGCGGACCGCCGCAUAAGCACCUCGAUCAACGCGAUUGAUUCCAGUUUUGUGCGACUUGCGCUCUUCAAAUCCCAAGCCUCACCCGUCGGCCAAGCAACAGCCGUAGAACCCGUUCGGAGAUCCAACCCCUGAGAUCGGAAUAAUUCUUUGGCGAAGAGCAAGUUCCUCAGGGCAGCUUCUGAAUCAACAUCUUGCAUCCUUCGUUACCGCAGGUUCAACCGAUCGCUCACCCCCGAUCCGUCGUUGUUCUCCCCGGAGUACAUCGUCAUCGACGGAGGUUACUCGACGCAUCUGUCGAAGCAAGUUAGCCAGGACCAUGCGGCCGAUACAACGCGACCAACCCGAACGCGGUCACCGAAACUCAUCUGGACAUCUUCAAAGCUGGUGCCGAUUACAUCGUGAUCAACACGUACCUCUAUCGCAUGACCAUCCCGUGUCAAUCAGAUUGCUAUUAGAUUUCGUUCCAGUGCAAAAAUGGCGACCAAACAUGUACAAUAUGUUGCGCCAACAUGAAAGUCAAUGAAUUUAGUUAUACAUUUUACAAAUCAUAACCUUACGAAAAAUACAGUCAAAAAUCGUGAA